AUUGAACGCUGGCGGCAGGCCUAACACAUGCAAGUCGAACGAUAACAGGAAACAGCUUGCUGUUUCGCUGACGAGUGGCGGACGGGUGAGUAAUGUCUGGGAAACUGCCUGAUGGAGGGGGAUAACUACUGGAAACGGUAGCUAAUACCGCAUAACGUCGCAAGACCAAAGAGGGGGACCUUCGGGCCUCUUGCCAUCGGAUGUGCCCAGAUGGGAUUAGCUAGUAGGUGGGGUAACGGCUCACCUAGGCGACGAUCCCUAGCUGGUCUGAGAGGAUGACCAGCCACACUGGAGCUGAGACACGGUCCAGACUCCUACGGGAGGCAGCAGUGGGGAAUAUUGCACAAUGGGCGCAAGCCUGAUGCAGCCAUGCCGCGUGUAUGAAGAAGGCCUUCGGGUUGUAAAGUACUUUCAGCGGGGAUGAAGGGAGUAAAGUUAAUACCUUUGCUCAUUGACGUUACCCGCAGAAGAAGCACCGGCUAACUCCGUG
This 490-nucleotide ribosomal RNA is filed under the name uncultured bacterium. RNAcentral describes it as "partial 16S ribosomal RNA". It matches the Rfam family "Bacterial small subunit ribosomal RNA", at positions 30 to 507 of the family's 1533-position model. The record is from RNAcentral.